AACGUAGCCAAAUUUGAAAGCUGUCGCAGCAGACGCAGAAACUGAAAGGGGCAGUUAUUGACAAUGCUAAACGAACCCCGGAAGGAAAUGGGUGAGAUCGGUGCGGAACUUGGUAUUGAAGAUCAGAGUAAAUCUCCGAUCUUCUUACAAGAAGAUUACGACGUGGCGAAUACUAACGUGGUGCGAUCGGAAGGCUAUGCGACCAUGUUCAUCGAUCCAGAUGUUAUAGAAUUUUUUCUCAGAGCUGACUCAAUAAAGGAUAGCGCGGAAGAAGUUAAAACUAGUAUUUCGAAGCGUAUUGAUUAUUUGUUGCAGGUUGUGAAAUCUAAGAUUCAAGGCGAAAAGAAUAUAUCCGUCCAUGAACUUCUAGAUAAGAGGGAUGACAUGUAUACUAUGUCAGCGGAAAUACUUGUUAAAUGUGGCUCAUUGCAGAAGUAUGAAGAAAUCAGGAACAUAGUUGUAGAGAAAUUGGGAGGAACUGUCUUCGUCAGCGAACCCAGACAUUAUCAUACGCACAGGUGUUUGCAGGACGCGAGCACUCUCUAAACACGACAGAGGAUAUGAGUCAGGCAGGGACGUGUUUCCCUUCUGUUUUGGUGGCCUCCCCAUCAUCGCAUGAGGCCUAGGUGAUGGAAGGUCACAUGCACUUUUGCUGAUCUCCCAUUCCAGCCUCAAGUUCAUUAGUAUGUUAUUAUUUUGGUAUCAUGCUGUUGCAGGAAUGUCACUGGAUCAGGAAUUUUCUUUCGUGAUUUUGGGGAAGUAAUUAACUCAGUUUUUCUAUUAUCGCAAAGUCCUUGUGUGCAUGUGACAAAAUCCUUUGGGCAAACUGAACACUGAGUUUCUUGGUUUCUUUAAAAAAAAGUGGGUUUAAUUGUCAUUACCACUUCAAUAGUGUUUUAGGGGCCUAGUAGUUUAUUUAAGUACUCAACUUGAUUAAUGUGUAACAGCCUUGUGGCUAAUCAAUGAAGUGUUACUGUUUGCUUCGGUUUUUACACAUGGGUAGUGCUUUGCCAGCUUGGCCAUAUCUUGUCUAUGUGGGAGCAGAAUAACAUUGUCAUAUGACACCAAAGUGUUGUCAUUUGUCUUACACUCGCUAAUAUUGUCAGUAAAAAGAUGAUUUACAAUGAUUGUUUGCCUUCUAGUGGUGAGAUGGCUAAUGGACUUUGGAUACCAAUAUUAUAUGUACCUGUGCCUAAUUCCUUGCCUUGGAGUAGGCCUAGAGUUUACUAUUGCAGUGGCGAUGUAUGCAUUUUAAUGUCUUUCAUUUAACAUUUGUUGAACUUAUAUUCAAGUCCUUGUGGGUUUAACCCACAGUUGUGAUGCUAGUCACAUGGACAGACUGCUGCUGCAGGUUUAUUUAAUUAAUUAACUGUUUGAAGUCAGGCCACCAUUGGAUUGCACAGUUAAACUGUU
This is an RNA transcript of Schistocerca nitens (vagrant locust), 1413 nucleotides long. It is a transcript of the gene named interleukin-1 receptor-associated kinase 1-binding protein 1 homolog, with no coding region annotated. The record is from RefSeq and is a predicted model, not a curated record. Lineage: Eukaryota; Metazoa; Arthropoda; Insecta; Orthoptera; Acrididae. The transcript has 4 exons.